This 1680-nucleotide ribosomal RNA is filed under the name Stylephorus chordatus (tube-eye). Its description in RNAcentral is "16S rRNA". It matches the Rfam family "Bacterial large subunit ribosomal RNA". Lineage: Eukaryota; Metazoa; Chordata; Actinopteri; Stylephoriformes; Stylephoridae. The record is from RNAcentral.
CUGCCUUAAAGCUAGCCUCAACAAUCAAGACCUUUUAUUAAGAUCCUAAUAACUUAAAUAAACUUAACCAAACCAUUUUCACUCCGAGUAUAGGUGAUAGAAACGAAAAAAGAGCAAUAGAUAUAGUACCGCAAGGGAACACUGAAAAAGAAAUGAAACAACCCAUUAAAGCUUAAAACAGCAGAGCUAAUCCCUCGUACCUUUUGCAUCAUGAUUUAGCAAGCAACUCUCAGGCAAAGAGCUCUUUAGUCUGACACCCCGAAACUGAGCGAGCUACUCCAAGACAGCCUAUAUUAGGGCAAACCCGUCCCUGUGGCAAAAGGGUGGGAAGAGCUUUGAGUAGAGGUGAUAAACCUACCGAGCCCAGUUAUAGCUGGUUGCCUGGGAAAUGAAUAAAAGUUCAGCCCUACUAAUCCUUCCCCCCUCACAUAUGAUUACACUAUAAUGAUCAAGGAAAAUUAGAGGAGUUAAUUGAAGGGGGUACAGCUCCUUCAAUAAAUGAUACAACUUUAACAGGUGGCUCAAGAUCAUAUUAAUUAAGGACAAUAAACUAAGUGGGCCUAAAAGCAGCCACCUUAACAGAAAGCGUUAAAGCUCAAGUCUAAAAACCCGUCCUUGUAUCCUGAUAAAUAAAUCUCCAUCCCUGUCCUCUUACCAGGCUGUUUUAUGCCCCCAUAAAAACAACUAUGCUAAAACGAGUAAUAAGAAGAAAUUAAACUUCUCCUUGCACACGUGUAAGUCGGAACGGACCAACCACCGACCAUUAAAUCGACCCCAAACCAAAGAGGGUAAUGAGUCAAUACUAUACAAGUAAUCCACUCAACUUACCAGUCGUUAACCCUACACAGGUGUGCCUCCAGGAAAGACUAAAAGAAGGGGAAGGAACUCGGCAAACCAAUAUAAAGCCUCGCCUGUUUACCAAAAACAUCGCCUCUUGAUCUCUAAACAUAAGAGGUCCCGCCUGCCCUGUGACUAUAAGUUUAACGGCCGCGGUAUCUUAACCGUGCAAAGGUAGCGCAAUCACUUGUCUUUUAAAUGAAGACCUGUAUGAAUGGCAUAACGAGGGCUUAGCUGUCUCCCCCCUCCAGUCAAUGAAACUGACCUCCCCGUGCAGAGGCGGGGAUUAUUACAUAAGACGAGAAGACCCUGUGGAGCUUUAGACCUAAAGUAGUGCAUGUCUAAAAUACUAGAAAAUAAGAAAAAACCCAAUGCCCCCUACUGAAGUGUCUUUGGUUGGGGCGACCGCGGGGUAAAACAAAACCCCCAUGUAGACCGGGGAAACAUCCCUAAAACCCAGAGCAACCACUCUAAGAAACAAAACCUUUGACUUUUUCUGAUCCGGCAUAGCCGAUCAACGAACCGAGUUACCCCAGGGAUAACAGCGCAAUCCUCUCUCAGAGCCCAUAUCGACGAGGGGGUUUACGACCUCGAUGUUGGAUCAGGACAUCCUAAUGGUGCAGCCGCUAUUAAGGGUUCGUUUGUUCAACGAUUAAAGUCCUACGUGAUCUGAGUUCAGACCGGAGUAAUCCAGGUCAGUUUCUAUCUAUGAUAAGCCCUUUUCCAGUACGAAAGGACCGAAUUCUAAAGGGGGGCCUAUACUAACAGCACGCCCCUCCCCCUCCCGCUGACAUCAUAUAAAGCGGAUAAGGGGGCUUAACCCUUACCCAAAAAUAAUGGAAU